This 465-nucleotide ribosomal RNA is filed under the name uncultured bacterium. RNAcentral's name for it is "partial 16S ribosomal RNA". It matches the Rfam family "Bacterial small subunit ribosomal RNA", at positions 28 to 507 of the family's 1533-position model. The record is from RNAcentral.
GACGAACGCUGGCGGCGUGCUUAACACAUGCAAGUCGAACGGAAAGGCCCCCUUGUGGGGUACUCGAGUGGCGAACGGGUGAGUAACACGUGAGCAACCUACCCUUGACUUUGGGAUAACUUCAGGAAACUGGGGCUAAUACCGGAUAGGAGCUCCUGCUGCAUGGUGGGGGUUGGAAAGUUUCGGCGGUUGGGGAUGGACUCGCGGCUUAUCAGCUUGUUGGUGGGGUAGUGGCUCACCAAGGCUUUGACGGGUAGCCGGCCUGAGAGGGUGACCGGCCACAUUGGGACUGAGAUACGGCCCAGACUCCUACGGGAGGCAGCAGUGGGGAAUAUUGCACAAUGGGCGGAAGCCUGAUGCAGCAACGCCGCGUGCGGGAUGACGGCCUUCGGGUUGUAAACCGCUUUCGCCUGUGACGAAGCGUGAGUGACGGUAAUGGGUAAAGAAGCACCGGCUAACUACGUG